This 612-nucleotide ribosomal RNA is filed under the name Aspidomorphus muelleri (Mueller's crown snake). RNAcentral describes it as "partial 12S ribosomal RNA". The stretch from base 1 to 506 matches the Rfam family "Bacterial small subunit ribosomal RNA", at positions 794 to 1533 of the family's 1533-position model. Lineage: Eukaryota; Metazoa; Chordata; Lepidosauria; Squamata; Elapidae. The record is from RNAcentral.
GCCUGGCCAUAACAAAACAAUAAAAUAACACAUUGUUCGCCAAAUAACUACGAGUGAAAACUUAAAAUUUAAAAGACUUGACGGUACUUCACACCAACCUAGAGGAGCCUGUCCAAUAAUCGAUAACCCACGAUUAACCCAACCCGCUCUAGCCUGACAGUCUAUAUACCGCCGUCGUCCAGCUUACCUUGUGAAAGAAACAAAGUAAGCAACAGCCCUCACACUAACACGACAGGUCAAGGUGUAACUAAUGAGCUGGAAUAAGAUGGGCUACAUUUUCUAACCUAGAAAAAACGAACAACCUAUGAAACUAGAAACUGAAGGUGGAUUUAGCAGUAAGCCGAAAAUAGAUAUACUCCACUGAAACUAACGCAAUGAAGUGCGCACACACCGCCCGUCAUCCCUGUAAAACACACAAUCACCUAUAUAAUAACAUUAUAACCUCAAAGCAGGGCAAGUCGUAACAAGGUAAGCGUACUGGAAAGUGCGCUUAGAAACAAAAAGUAGCUUACAUCAAAGCACCCGACCUACAAUCGAACGACAUUAACCUUUAAUCUUUUUGAGCUGACUUCAGACUAACCCUACAACUAUCCCAAUAUAAUAAAACAAACC